Molecule: ribosomal RNA, 350 nt
Filed under: uncultured eukaryote
Lineage: Eukaryota
Description: partial 18S ribosomal RNA
Rfam family: Eukaryotic small subunit ribosomal RNA
Source: RNAcentral
CAAUAGCGUAUAUUAAAGUUGUUGCAGUUAAAGCGCUCGUAGUUGAAUAUCUGCUAUAUGUGUUCGGUCCACUUUGGUGUGACAGUUUACGAAUAGCAUUCGUUUGCGAUAACUUGUUGCUGCAAACCGUUUACUUUGAGGAAAUUAGAGUGUUCAAAGCAGGCUUUCGCCUUGAAUACUUCAGCAUGGAAUAAUUGAUAGGACUUCCGUUCUGUCUUUGGUUCUCGGAACGUGAAGUAAUGAUUAAUAGGGACGGUCGGGGCAUUCGUAUUGAACAGUCAGAGGUGAAAUUCUUAGAUUUGUUUAAGACGAACUACUGCGAAAGCAUUUGCCAGGUACGUUCCCAUUAA